Molecule: long non-coding RNA, 577 nt
Filed under: Phoenix dactylifera (date palm)
Lineage: Eukaryota; Viridiplantae; Streptophyta; Magnoliopsida; Arecales; Arecaceae
Description: long non-coding RNA (PDAC_LNC021360)
Source: RNAcentral
GUGAGAACUUAAGAGACCAGAAUCGUGCCUGGGUUAUCCGAGUGAUGGAGAAAGAGCAGUAAUGUUAUAUUAGCAUUAAGAUUGGAAAUAACAGUAGAAGAGGCAGUGAUUAUUAAAUGAAGAAUAGAGGGACAAAAAAAAUAAACACCGAGAGGAGAACAAGAAAAAGAAGUUGAUUGAUCAAAAAAAAAAUGCUUUGAUACAAUAAAAAUAAGUGAAACCUCUUGACUCGAGGGAACAAAUAUAGUAGAAUAUAACAAUAAAAUUCUAUUAUUAUGGAAAAGAUACUAGGAAUCAGAUAUAGCAUAAUAUAGUAGCAAAAUUUUAUGAUUUAGUACUAAUACUAAAUUUGAAUAUGACAAUCAAAUUCAAUGAUUUUUGGAUCUGAACUCAUAUACCAAGAUUGUGCAUACAAUAUGUGGCAGUUGUGAUAUCCAAAAUCGUAUAUACGAUAAUAGGUGAGAUUGUGCAUGAUUAACUGUUGUAAUAUUUGUAUGGAUUCAAUUAGGAUUAAAGUAAUGCUUUUCUUGAUGGUUUACUUGUUGACCUCAGCAGUGGAAUCCAGAUUAGAAGCAAU